CACCGGCGGCUCGAGUGGUAACCGUUAUUAUUGGGUCUAAAGGGUCUGUAGCCGGCCGGAUAAGUCUCUUGAGAAAUCUGGCAGCUUAACUGUCAGGCUUUCAGGAGAUACUGUCUGGCUCGAGGCCGGGAGAGGUGAGAGGUACUUCAGGGGUAGGGGUGAAAUCUUGUAAUCCUUGAAGGACCACCAGUGGCGAAGGCGUCUCACCAGAACGGACCUGACGGCAAGGGACGAAAGCUAGGGGCACGAACCGGAUUAGAUACCCCUGUAGUCCCUGAGCGGG
Molecule: ribosomal RNA, 283 nt
Filed under: uncultured prokaryote
Description: partial 16S ribosomal RNA
Rfam family: Archaeal small subunit ribosomal RNA
Source: RNAcentral